Molecule: non-coding RNA, 523 nt
Organism: Macaca mulatta (Rhesus monkey)
Lineage: Eukaryota; Metazoa; Chordata; Mammalia; Primates; Cercopithecidae
Source: RefSeq, a predicted model, not a curated record
AUGAUGCAUAACUUCAACAAAUGGUGCUAGAACAACUGGAUGUCUAUGUUCAAAAGAAUGAUGGAGGACCACUUCUUCACUCCAUACAUUGAAAACAUCCCUGAAAAUAUACCCAAGACCUAGAGUGCAUAACCUGAAUCUAUGAAGAAAUAGCUGAGAACCCCAAGUUGAAGGGCAUACUACAAGAUAAUGGCCCAUAUUCUUCAAAACGAUAAAGGUCAAUAAAACGUGGAAAAGGCUGAAGAAUCAUUUUGGAAUUAAGGAGACCCAGGGGAUGGGAGAGCCAAAUGCAGUACAUGAUGCUGGAUUCUACUCUGUUCCAGCAGAAAACUAGUUAUAGAUGAAAUUAUUUGGAAGACUCACACAAUUUAAAUAUGUACAAUAUAUUAGGUAAGGAUUGUGUCACUGUUAAAUUGCAAUUUUUAUCAUUGUAUUCUGGUCAGGAAAUGCCAAAAUUUAGUGUCAAUGGGUUUAAUAACUUCAACUUAUUUCAAAAUAAAGAGUUGCUAAAAGUCUUCAACCA